GACUGCAUGAUCUAGUGGGUUGAGCAUUGGACUAUGACUCUAGAGACCAGGGUUCAAAUCCCUGUUCACCCA
Non-coding RNA from Phrynosoma platyrhinos (Desert horned lizard), 72 nucleotides. NCBI's taxonomy places the organism in Eukaryota, Metazoa, Chordata, Lepidosauria, Squamata, Phrynosomatidae. The record is from the annotation of a GenBank genome assembly.